Molecule: microRNA precursor, 65 nt
Organism: Medicago truncatula (barrel medic)
Lineage: Eukaryota; Viridiplantae; Streptophyta; Magnoliopsida; Fabales; Fabaceae
Rfam family: MIR5291 microRNA precursor family
Source: Rfam
GAUGGAUUAAAUCCAAUCCAUUAACUAUUUUUUUUGUUUGGUGGAUGGAUUGGAUGGAUAUUAUG